This 456-nucleotide long non-coding RNA is filed under the name Homo sapiens (human). RNAcentral describes it as "long non-coding RNA NONHSAT258692". Lineage: Eukaryota; Metazoa; Chordata; Mammalia; Primates; Hominidae. The record is from RNAcentral.
GUGGCAACAUAUUCCCUUUGGAGGAAAUUCUGUCUAGGCCUAAAGCAGUGUGGUCUAGCUUUAUGGUUUGAUUAAAGACAAUCACACAAUGUCCCAUAUAUUUCCUACAUCACAUGUAGGCCAUCAACAGUCUGAUCAAGGUUUGGCUAUGUCAAGUCCAACACAGCUCCUAGGUAUCAAAUGAUCAUAAACUCUGGAGGUUCACUCUCACUCAUGGCACCUGUCUUAGCCUAUUUUCUGUUGCUUAUAACAAAAUACCUGAAAAUUUAUUUAAAAAAAUAAAAUGUAUUUCUUACAGUUCUGGAGGCUGGGAAGUUCAAGAUUGAGGGGCCACAUCUGGUGAGGGCCUUCUUGAUGGUAGAAACUCUCUGCAGUCCUGAGGUAGCACAGGGCAUCACAUGGCAAGGGGACUAAGUAUGCUAACAUGGUAGCUUAGGUCUCUCUUUCUCUUCUUAU